AGUGAACGCUGGCGGCGUAGCUAAGGCAUGCAAGUCGAACGGACUUAGACAAGGGUAACCGAGUCUAGGUUAGUGGCGAACGGGAGCGUAAUACAUAGGUAACGUACCCUGGGCAUGGGGAUAGCGGCGGGUGGAAACACCCUUUGCGAAAGUGCCGUUAAUACCCAAUGAUGUCGGAUGGUCGCAUGGCCGACCGACCAAAGGUGGCGCAAGCUACCAGCCUGGGAGCGGCUUAUGUCCUAUCAGGUAGUUGGUGAGGUAACGGCUCACCAAGCCUGCGACGGGUAGCGGGGCUGAGAGGUUGACCCGCCUCAUCGGAACUGAGACACUGUCCGGACACCUACGGGUGGCUGCAGCAACGAAUAUUGGGCAAUGGGCGAAAGCCUGACCCAGCGACGCCGCGUGCGGGAUGAAGCCCUUCGGGGUGUAAACCGCUGUCAGGGUUAAUCAAGCGACCGGUGUGAAUAAUGCCGGAAGUUGAGAUAUCCCAGAGGAAGCCACGGCUAACUCCGUGCCAGCAGCCGCGGUAAGACGGAGGUGGCGAGCGUUACUCGGAUUCACUGGGCUUAGAGCGGGUGCAGGCGGUCCUGCAAGUCCGGAGUGAAAUCCCUCGGCUCAACCGAGGAAUUGCUUCGGAUACUGCGGGACUUGAGGCAGGUAGGGGCAAGUGGAACGUUUGGUGUAGCGGUGAAAUGCGUAGAUAUCAAACGGAACGCCGGUGGUGAAGACGGCUUGCUGGACCUGUCCUGACGCUCAGACCCGAAAGCGUGGGGAGUGAACCGGAUUAGAUACCCGGGUAAUCCACGCCCUAAACGAUGCGCACUAGAUUCGGGAGCCUCUGACGGCGUCCGGGUCGAUGUGAAAACGUUAAGUGCGCCGCCUGGGGAGUACGGCCGCAAGGUUAAAACUCAAAGGAAUUGACGGGGGCUCACACAAGCGGUGGAGCAUGUGGAUUAAUUCGAAGCAACGCGAAGAACCUUACCUGGGUUUGACAUGUACGGAUGGGGUCCGUGAAAGCGGGUGCCUCUGCUCUUCGGAGUGAAACGUGCACAGGUGCUGCAUGGCUGUCGUCAGCUCGUGCGGUGACGUGUUGGGUUAAGUCCUAUAACGAGCGAAACCCCUGUCGUUAGUUGCCAGCGCGUAAAGGCGGGCACUCUAACGGGACUGCCGGCGUCAAGCCGGAGGAAGGCGGGGACGACGUCAAGUCAUCAUGGCCUUUAUGUCCAGGGCGUCACACGUGCUACAAUGGCUACUACAAAGCGAUGCCAAGCCGCAAGGCGGAGCAAAUCGAUGAAAGGUAGCCUCAGUUCGGAUUGUGGUCUGCAACCCGACCACAUGAAGCCGGAAUCGCUAGUAAUCGCGUAUCAGCCAUGACGCGGUGAAUGUGUUCCUGAGCCUUGUACACACCGCCCGUCAAGUCAUGGGAGCCGGGAGCACCCGAAGCUCGCUUAGUCAACCGCAAGGAGACGGCGAACUACGGUGAGUCUGGUGACUGGGACU
This 1500-nucleotide ribosomal RNA is filed under the name uncultured Schlesneria sp. Its description in RNAcentral is "bacterial SSU rRNA". It matches the Rfam family "Bacterial small subunit ribosomal RNA". Lineage: Bacteria; Pseudomonadati; Planctomycetota; Planctomycetia; Planctomycetales; Planctomycetaceae. The record is from RNAcentral.